This 696-nucleotide ribosomal RNA is filed under the name Escherichia coli. RNAcentral's name for it is "partial 23S ribosomal RNA". It matches the Rfam family "Bacterial large subunit ribosomal RNA", at positions 1 to 740 of the family's 2925-position model. Lineage: Bacteria; Pseudomonadati; Pseudomonadota; Gammaproteobacteria; Enterobacterales; Enterobacteriaceae. The record is from RNAcentral.
GGUUAAGCGACUAAGCGUACACGGUGGAUGCCCUGGCAGUCAGAGGCGAUGAAGGACGUGCUAAUCUGCGAUAAGCGUCGGUGAGGUGAUAUGAACCGUUAUAACCGGCGAUUUCCGAAUGGGGAAACCCAGUGUGUUUCGACACACUAUCAUUAACUGAAUCCAUAGGUUAAUGAGGCGAACCGGGGGAACUGAAACAUCUAAGUACCCCGAGGAAAAGAAAUCAACCGAGAUUCCCCCAGUAGCGGCGAGCGAACGGGGAGGAGCCCAGAGCCUGAAUCAGUGUGUGUGUUAGUGGAAGCGUCUGGAAAGGCGCGCGAUACAGGGUGACAGCCCCGUACACAAAAAUGCACAUAUUGUGAGCUCGAUGAGUAGGGCGGGACACGUGGUAUCCUGUCUGAAUAUGGGGGGACCAUCCUCCAAGGCUAAAUACUCCUGACUGACCGAUAGUGAACCAGUACCGUGAGGGAAAGGCGAAAAGAACCCCGGCGAGGGGAGUGAAAAAGAACCUGAAACCGUGUACGUACAAGCAGUGGGAGCCUCUUUAUGGGGUGACUGCGUACCUUUUGUAUAAUGGGUCAGCGACUUAUAUUCUGUAGCAAGGUUAACCGAAUAGGGGAGCCGAAGGGAAACCGAGUCUUAACUGGGCGUUAAGUUGCAGGGUAUAGACCCGAAACCCGGUGAUCUAGCCAUGGG